CAGCCGCCGCGGGAAUACGUAGGUCCCGAGCGUUGUCCGGAUUUAUUGGGCGUAAAGCGAGCGCAGGCGGUUAGAUAAGUCUGAAGUUAAAGGCUGUGGCUUAACCAUAGUACGCUUUGGAAACUGUUUAACUUGAGUGCAAGAGGGGAGAGUGGAAUUCCAUGUGUAGCGGUGAAAUGCGUAGACAUAUGGAGGAACACCGGUGGCGAAAGCGGCUCUCUGGCUUGUAACUGACGCUGAGGCUCGAAAGCGUGGGGAGCAAACAGGAUUAGAUACCCCAGUAGUCCCUGUCUCUUAUACA
RNAcentral lists this ribosomal RNA (301 nucleotides) under uncultured bacterium. RNAcentral describes it as "partial 16S ribosomal RNA". It matches the Rfam family "Bacterial small subunit ribosomal RNA", at positions 509 to 808 of the family's 1533-position model. The record is from RNAcentral.